AACGAACGCUGGCGGCAGGCCUAACACAUGCAAGUCGAGCGCCCCGCAAGGGGAGCGGCGGACGGGUGAGUAACGCGUGGGAAUAUGCCCUUUGCUACGGAAUAGUCUCGGGAAACUGGGGGUAAUACCGUAUACGCCCUUUGGGGGAAAGAUUUAUCGGCGAAGGAUUAGCCCGCGUUGGAUUAGGUAGUUGGUGGGGUAAUGGCCUACCAAGCCGACGAUCCAUAGCUGGUUUGAGAGGAUGAUCAGCCACACUGGGACUGAGACACGGCCCAGACUCCUACGGGAGGCAGCAGUGGGGAAUCUUAGACAAUGGGGGCAACCCUGAUCUAGCCAUGCCGCGUGAGUGAUGAAGGCCUUAGGGUUGUAAAGCCCUUUCAGCUGGGAAGAUAAUGACGGUACCAGCAGAAGAAGCCCCGGCUAACUCCGUG
This 431-nucleotide ribosomal RNA is filed under the name uncultured bacterium. RNAcentral describes it as "partial 16S ribosomal RNA". It matches the Rfam family "Bacterial small subunit ribosomal RNA", at positions 29 to 507 of the family's 1533-position model. The record is from RNAcentral.